AAGACCUAUACUGAGAACAUCUUAAGAAUUUACUGAUGGUUUCAAGCAGAGGCCCAAAGUACCAUCUUCCUGUGAUCUAUUGGUUGUUCUGGAACCUCAGCAAAGAAUGGCUAUUUCAUUUGGAAGAAACAACC
This is a small nucleolar RNA of Rhinolophus ferrumequinum (greater horseshoe bat), 134 nucleotides long. The record is from Ensembl. NCBI's taxonomy places the organism in Eukaryota, Metazoa, Chordata, Mammalia, Chiroptera, Rhinolophidae.